AUUGAACGCUGGCGGCAUGCCUAACACAUGCAAGUCGAACGGAAACGAUGGGAGCUUGCUCCCAGGCGUCGAGUGGCGGACGGGUGAGUAAUACUUAGGAAUCUGCCCAUUAGUGGGGGACAACUAGAAGAAAUUCUAGCUAAUACCGCAUACGCCCUACGGGGGAAAGCGAGGGAUCUUCGGACCUCGCGCUAAUGGAUGAGCCUAAGUCGGAUUAGCUUGUUGGUGAGGUAAUGGCUCACCAAGGCGACGAUCCGUAGCUGGUCUGAGAGGACGAUCAGCCACACUGGGACUGAGACACGGCCCAGACUCCUACGGGAGGCAGCAGUGGGGAAUAUUGGACAAUGGGCGCAAGCCUGAUCCAGCAAUGCCGCGUGUGUGAAGAAGGCCUGCGGGUUGUAAAGCACUUUCAGUAGAGAAGAAAAGCCUACGGUUAAUAGCCGUGAGUCUUGACGUAACCUACAGAAGAAGCACCGCUAACU
RNAcentral lists this ribosomal RNA (482 nucleotides) under uncultured bacterium. RNAcentral describes it as "bacterial SSU rRNA". It matches the Rfam family "Bacterial small subunit ribosomal RNA", at positions 30 to 502 of the family's 1533-position model. The record is from RNAcentral.